GGAAAAGUAAGCUAAAUCAAGCUAAUGGGUUCAUACCCCAUUUAUAGAGGGAGAUCCUCUCUUCUCUA
This 68-nucleotide transfer RNA is filed under the name Diploptera punctata (Pacific beetle cockroach). RNAcentral's name for it is "tRNA-Met". The record is from RNAcentral. Lineage: Eukaryota; Metazoa; Arthropoda; Insecta; Blattodea; Blaberidae.